GUCCACAUCGACGGGGAGGUUUGGCACCUCGAUGUCGGCUCAUCACAUCCUGGGGCUGUAGUAGGUCCCAAGGGUUGGGCUGUUCGCCCAUUAAAGUGGUACGCGAGCUGGGUUCAGAACGUCGUGAGACAGUUCGGUCCCUAUCCGUCGCAGGCGUAGGAAAUUUGAGAAGACCUGUCCUUAGUACGAGAGGACCGGGAUGGACGUACCUCUGGUGUACCAGUUGUCCUGCCAAGGGCAUGGCUGGGUAGCUAUGUACGGAAUGGAUAAGCGCUGAAAGCAUCUAAGCGCGAAGCCAACUUCAAGAUAAGAUUUCCCACCGCAAGGGUAAGACCCCAGAAAGACUAUCUGGUUGAUAGGUCGAAGGUGUAAGUGCAGCAAUGUAUUUAGCUUAUCGAUACUAAUAGGUCGAGGACUUGACCAAU
RNAcentral lists this ribosomal RNA (425 nucleotides) under Clostridioides difficile. Its description in RNAcentral is "partial 23S ribosomal RNA". It matches the Rfam family "Bacterial large subunit ribosomal RNA", at positions 2498 to 2925 of the family's 2925-position model. The record is from RNAcentral. Lineage: Bacteria; Bacillati; Bacillota; Clostridia; Peptostreptococcales; Peptostreptococcaceae.